AACGAACGCUGGCGGCAUGCCUAACACAUGCAAGUCGAACGAAGCCUUCGGGCUUAGUGGCGCACGGGUGCGUAACGCGUGGGAAUCUGCCCUUGGGUUCGGAAUAACAGUUAGAAAUGACUGCUAAUACCGAAUGAUGUCUUCGGACCAAAGAUUCAUCGCCCAAGGAUGAGCCCGCGUCGGAUUAGCUAGUUGGUGAGGUAAAGGCUCACCAAGGCGACGAUCCGUAGCUGGUCUGAGAGGAUGAUCAGCCACACUGGGACUGAGACACGGCCCAGACUCCUACGGGAGGCAGCAGUGGGGAAUAUUGGACAAUGGGCGAAAGCCUGAUCCAGCAAUGCCGCGUGAGUGAUGAAGGCCUUAGGGUUGUAAAGCUCUUUUACCCGGGAUGAUAAUGACAGUACCGGGAGAAUAAGCCCCGGCUAACUCCGUGCCAGCAGCCGCGGUAAU
Molecule: ribosomal RNA, 450 nt
Filed under: uncultured bacterium
Lineage: Bacteria
Description: bacterial SSU rRNA
Rfam family: Bacterial small subunit ribosomal RNA
Source: RNAcentral